GACGAACGCUGGCGGCGUGCCUAAUACAUGCAAGUAGGACGCAGUUGCGAACGUGAGAGUAACGCAUAGGUAACUGCCUAUUAGUGAGGGAUAACUAUUGGAGAAGAUAGCUAAUAACGCAUACUAGUAGAUGGACCUGCGUUGUAUGGGGUAGUAGGUAGGGUAAUGGCCUACCUAGGCGACGAUACAUAGCCGACCGGGGAAGGUGGUCGGCCAAACUUGGACUUGGGAACGGCCCAGACUCCUACGGGAGGCAGCAGUAGGGAAUCUUCGGCAAUGGGGGGAACCCUGACCGAGCAACGCCGCGUGAGUUAAGAAGGUUUUCGGAUCGGAAAGCUCUUUUGUUAAGGAAGCGGUACUUAACCAGAAAGUGACGGCUAACUACGUGCCAGCAGCCGCGGUAAUUC
Molecule: ribosomal RNA, 407 nt
Filed under: uncultured bacterium
Lineage: Bacteria
Description: partial 16S ribosomal RNA
Rfam family: Bacterial small subunit ribosomal RNA
Source: RNAcentral